CUACGGCGGCUGCAGUGAGGAAUAUUGCACAAUGGGGGGAACCCUGAUGCAGCAACGCCGCGUGGAGGAUGACGCAUUUCGGUGUGUAAACUCCUUUUAUAUGUCAAGAAAAUGACGGUAGCAUAUGAAUAAGCACCGGCUAACUCCGUGCCAGCAGCCGCGGUAAUACGGAGGGUGCAAGCGUUACUCGGAAUCACUGGGCGUAAAGGACGCGUGGGCGGGUUGGAAAGUCAGGUGUGAAAUCCUACAGCUUAACUGUAGAACUGCACUUGAAACUUCUAAUCUAGAGUAUGGGAGGGGGAGAUGGAAUUAGUGGUGUAGGGGUAAAAUCCGUAGAUAUCACUAGGAAUACCUAAAGCGAAGGCGAUCUCCUGGAACAUUACUGACGCUAAGGCGUGAAAGCGUGGGGAGCAAACAGGAUUAGAUACCCCUGUAGUC
This 438-nucleotide ribosomal RNA is filed under the name uncultured bacterium. RNAcentral describes it as "partial 16S ribosomal RNA". It matches the Rfam family "Bacterial small subunit ribosomal RNA", at positions 339 to 795 of the family's 1533-position model. The record is from RNAcentral.